ACCUGGUCCGAGGUUAGCAGCCCUUUUCCCGACACCAGGUUUUGGUAAUAGAUGUUGUCGAAGGCCGCAGGGGUUUGCGGGUCCAGCUCAAUGGCUACGGUGGGGUCGGGGUUUCUGGGGCAUCCCGCCAUCAGAGUCUGGGCGUAGGUGGGGUCCAGAGUGGGGUCCACUGGAUUGGAAGAUGAGAAGGAGUAUAAACGAUUGGCGAACUGAUCGCAGUGCGAGAACCCCACGGUGUGGGCCCCGGAGAGGGCUAUCAUAUCCGUUUGGGUGAGACCGUGCUUCUGGAAAAGCGAUGUGAGUUGGUCCAAGUUGAAGUUCGCUUUGGGGAGGUUUCCUUCCACACGAGAUGCCUUAGAAAUCAACCCGUCUCUGC
Molecule: long non-coding RNA, 376 nt
Filed under: Phaseolus vulgaris (common bean)
Lineage: Eukaryota; Viridiplantae; Streptophyta; Magnoliopsida; Fabales; Fabaceae
Description: long non-coding RNA (PVUL_LNC004996)
Source: RNAcentral